GGACAAUGUGAUGAUGAGCUGAUUAAUGUUACUAAUAAAAAUUCUUUGUUCAAAUUGCAAGCAAGGUAUGUGGUUGAAAGGAUGGAUGCUGAUCUUUGGGAGAAAGUUCUUAAUCCUGAGAAUGAAUAUAGAAGACAGCUCAUUGAUCAGGUUGUAUCUACUGCUUUGCCUGAAAGCAAGAGUCCUGAACAAGUUUCUGCAGCAGUUAAGGCUUUCAUGACUGCUGAUCUACCCCAUGAAUUAAUUGAGCUUCUUGAAAAGAUUGUGCUUCAAAACUCUGCAUUCAGUGGAAAUUUCAAUCUGCAGAAUCUACUUAUCUUGACCGCCAUUAAGGCGGAUCCAUCUAGAGUUAUGGAUUACAUUAACAGAUUGGACAAUUUUGAUGGACCUGCUGUUGGGGAAGUGGCCGUGGAAGCCCAACUGUACGAGGAAGCAUUUGCAAUUUUCAAGAAGUUCAACUUAAAUGUUCAGGCUGUAAAUGUCCUAUUGGACAAUAUUCAAAGCAUUGAUCGUGCAGUGGAGUUUGCAUUCCGAGUUGAAGAAGAUGCAGUUUGGAGUCAGGUGGCAAAGGCUCAACUCAGGGAGGGGCUGGUGAGUGAUGCAAUUGAGUCCUUUAUUCGUGCAGAUGAUGUUACUCAAUUCCUGGAGGUCAUUCGUGCUGCUGAGGAUGCAAAUGUCUAUCAUGACUUGGUGAGGUACCUACUGAUGGUCAGGCAGAAGACAAAAGAACCCAAGGUGGACAGUGAACUUAUUUUUGCAUAUGCAAAGAUCGAUAGGCUAAGUGACAUUGAGGAAUUUAUUCUCAUGCCAAAUGUGGCUAAUCUCCAAAAUGUGGGUGAUCGUUUGUUUGAUGAAGCUCUAUAUGAGGCUGCAAAAAUUAUAUUUGCAUUUAUAUCAAACUGGGGCAAGUUGGCUAGCACACUUGUGAAGCUGAAACAGUUCCAAGGUGCUGUUGAUGCAGCACGAAAAGCCAAUAGUGCAAAGACAUGGAAGGAAGUUUGCUUUGCUUGUGUUGAUGCUGAGGAGUUCCGUUUGGCUCAGAUCUGUGGCCUUAACAUUAUUAUUCAGGUGGAUGAUUUGGAAGAGGUCAGUGAAUAUUACCAAAACAGAGGAUACUUCAAUGAACUAAUCUCUCUUAUGGAGAGUGGUUUAGGGUUAGAACGUGCGCACAUGGGCAUUUUCACAGAGUUGGGAGUAUUGUAUGCAAGAUAUCGUCCUGAGAAGCUUAUGGAACAUAUUAAAUUGUUCUCGACCCGUCUCAAUAUUCCCAAGCUCAUACGAGCUUGUGAUGAACAGCAGCAUUGGAUGGAACUUACCUAUUUGUAUAUCCAAUACGAUGAAUUUGAUAAUGCUGCAACUACCAUAAUGAACCAUUCACCUGAGGCAUGGGAUCACAUGCAAUUUAA
RNAcentral lists this unclassified non-coding RNA (1406 nucleotides) under Hevea brasiliensis (rubber tree). Lineage: Eukaryota; Viridiplantae; Streptophyta; Magnoliopsida; Malpighiales; Euphorbiaceae. The record is from RNAcentral.